RNAcentral lists this long non-coding RNA (3821 nucleotides) under Triticum aestivum (bread wheat). Its description in RNAcentral is "long non-coding RNA (TAES_LNC025460)". The record is from RNAcentral. Lineage: Eukaryota; Viridiplantae; Streptophyta; Magnoliopsida; Poales; Poaceae.
GAGCGUCAAGGUGAUGGUAGCCGACCCUCCACGCCCCCUCUAGGGAUGGGAAGUGGCGGGCAGAGUACCUCCCCCGCGCAUGUCAGGUUGCUGAUCCACCCCUAAUUCCAUUAUACACUGCUACAUCUUAUCUGUCAUCUACUCACAACAUUGCAAGAUGUGGCAUGUCCUAAGACGAUGAGAUUACAAAGAUUGAGGUGACAGAAUCUAGCUGUGUCAUGGGCAAGCCGGUUGGCACCAUUGUGACAUGACAUCAGUCGUGUGCGUUAAAAUCACGAAUGACGGCGCUUGCUUUCAUAACCUAAUAUACUUCUCCCACAUGGAAAUUAUAUAAGUAUAGUUGUUUAUAACUGUAUGCACUGGACAUGUGUUCUCUCUCAGUAAUGUGCAUGUUUGCUCCAUUACUCAUUUACCCAUUCUGGUAAUUUUUUCUCUGAGUUUUAGUCCACAAACCAAUGUUUAGUCUCUGGAAGAAAGUCAAGGUAUUAUGACGUGUGUGUGUGUCUAUAUAUAAACAAAGAGAUAUAUAUGUCUCAUAUCCUAUAGAUUUUGGUCUGCCUUUUUCUUUGCUUACGGAGAUGCACCUGAUUAGUUUGUUUCACCUGUUUGAUAAAUAGUAUUUUUCACAAUAUAAUUUUAUUUCACGGUGUCUACUCAACAAAUUGCUUGUGAGUGUGUGUUUUCACAAAUGGUGCAGAAUAAACUCCCAACUAAAUCGUUGGAUAUGUAUAUAAUUUGCAGAGUUGCAAACACUUUCAAUUUCAACUGUGUGGUGAUCAAGACAUUCUGUGUUGCUUGGACAACCGAGCUAAGACGGCGAUGCCACCACCUACUUGUAUCUGUACAGGAACUCCGGUGAUUAUUUCUGUGAGUGCCUAAAUAUAUAUCCUCUGCUCUCCAAAUGGUAGUGUUUGAGGUUUUCAUUUCUCCCCCUUCCAGUUCUGCUGAGCACCUUCAAUUCCCCUUUCCCCAGCUCGAAGGAAUUGGCGCCUCCGUUAGUGACCCCGAGUAGUGAUGCAAUGAUGUAUUGUUUGAUCUUCUCCAAAGAUUUUCAAAUAGUUAUACUUUGAUUCAGAGCUCGUUGUGUUUUACUGUAUAUGCAGUUUGUUCUUAUGAAUUUCUCCGAGUAGGUAGAUCCUUUAGGGUUACUAACUUACUAUGAACAAAUGUUUUGUCUUGUUCGUGUAGUUUCCAAAAAUGAAGAAGCUUGUCGUUCAACCGAUGACAAAACACCUAGAGUACGUGCAAAAAUUACUACUUCCUCAUUUACAGCAAACUCAUUGAUACGACAAAGGCAAAAUUUUGGGUGGCAAGGUAUAUGAUUAGAUCAUGUGUAAUCUUCUAGAUGCAUUUUUCUAUUCUUCCAUUGUGUUCUUUAGACAUGCCUCUUUUUGUUAUUUUACAUCAGUUAACUGAAGUUCAUAUUAUUCCUUUAUCUGAUUGUAGCUUCAAAGUUUGAUUACAGCAGAGUCAUUGAUACAACAUACACAGUUUGUGAAUUUACCUACUACUACGAGUUACGUCAUAUAGCAAUGUUUUCUUGCCUAGAAAAAUAUUACAUGAAAGGCCUAAUGUCUUGUGAAUGUGUAUAGUAGCUACGAGUAGGUGGUCAAACUGUACACCUUUAAAGCAUGAAUAAGGUGCUAGCUUAUGUGCUGCAGUUGCUUUGCAUUGUUCAGAUGCAAUGUGUUUUCGCUCAGCGGGAGCACUUCUUCUGAUUAUUUAUAAUUUUUAGUUUGCUUCUUAUAAUUUUAAGACAAUUUUUGCGACUUGGAAUGUAUAGCAUCCCCCUUUUCUCACUGGAAAUGACAUGUAAGAACAAACCAGUUCCAGUUCUGGCAUAGUUCUGAUGGUUGAAGUGUAUGUCUAUAUGAUUUAGUAUAUGCAUGGGAGUACCCGCUAAACGAUGAAGCAUAUUGUGUCGUGUUAGCUCCAUCUAGCUUUAUUAUCUUGAAUUAUGUAUCUAGAUUUUGUAUGUUGUAUUCCCUUUCACCGCGUCUACAUACUUGAUGAAGCUUUUUUCUGAUUGCAAAGUAUGUGCAAGUCAGUAGUGAACACUCUAUAUCGUUGUUCUUGUUCCAGAAAAGCAAGAUUCAGCAAUUUCCGCAACAUUUCAUGUCCGUUCCAUGUAGUAGUUUUUGCGGAAUUAUAUUGAUGAUUUCCUUUUACCUUCAGAUUUGCUUAGUUUUCUUAGCAAACACAAAAUGCUUUGCGUCUUGAAGCAUUGAUAGAAGCGAACAUAAUUCAUGAUACAAGCCUAAUACUCUGAAAAUAUUUUUAUGGUUCACUAUUCCUAUGAGGGGAGUGAGUGGAGACAGCCAUGAGUGGCUCAACAUGUCGAGCAGCGGCCGCCUAUGAGGGGAGUGAGUGGAGACGCGCAAAUAUGUGUGGUGGAGGGGCAACGGAAGCUUGAACGGAAGAUUCGUCGCCAACAUCGAAGAAAUCUAUGGCCUGAUCGACCCUAAAGCUCCUGCAUGGACAUGAAGGUGUGUCAUUAUUAAGAAGUCCAGUCUUUGGAAACUCAGCAAGCUAGGAAAUUCUCUCUCGACAAUUUUGUAUGUACUUGGGAGCAUUGCUAAUUUCUGUCAACACGAAUGAUAUCUGGAUUAUUUAUAUAGCUACCAUGCGCUGAACAAAUUGUUGGAUUAAUGUAACACUCCUGAAUAGAUUGGUGUGUGGGCCAUGUCAUUUCGUUUGGUUUACACUACCAUAAUCAUUUUGUCAGUGUCUGAUCUAUUAAUACUUAUUUGAGAGAAAAUGCUUCCAAAAUGUUAUCUUGACAGCAACAUUGUAGCUAUUUUUCUCCGGCAUGUAUGAUAAGCAUAGGUGUCAAUUUUGGAUACAUGAUAGAUUGUUAGCUGUUUUGAUUCCAUAUUUUAACGACUAUUGAGAAUUAUGAUGGGCUUGUAUUAGAGGACUAGAUUGUUGCAAAUGGUUAUGGUGUGAAUCUGAUUCAUACUAAAGGGACUCUUGUGGUUGCAGGUGACCGGGGGCAGAUUGCCGACAUUUGCCACACUAUGGGCAAUCUAUGUGAUGAUCUGCUCUCCGCAAUCAAAGCCAGGAAUGAGCGGCAAGAUCUCUUCGGGAAUGGCUGAUGAGGAAGAAUUGACUGCGGGGGAAUGGUGGAUCUAGGUGGAGUUCGCUUUAGCCAGUGAGGGACGAGCUUUAGUUGUGUAGGGGAAGGGAAGCCACAUGCAUGAGUCAGACAUAAUAAAUCGGCUCGAAAAUGACUCUGUUAGUCCAGAAUCUCGUCUUAGACGACCCAUAUGGUGGUCUGACAUUCGAUCCGGUGUGAAAGUGCCUCACAUAGUCAUGUUUCAUGGACUUCAGAUGUGGGCCAUAUUCACUGUUCAAAAGAAGCAUACAUAGAUUAUUAGUGGCCUAUGUGUGUUGGGCUGUAAAUCCCGGGGCAACUUGAUGGGAGGGAUAACGAGCACACAUGUGCUCCAACACAUAAUAGAGUGCAUAUAACAUGGCUUUCUCACGACUUUAUGCCACUAAUAAGAAGUCCUUCCAUUUUAGAUCAUGAGUUGAUGAAAUUUAUUCCUCAAUAUAUAUGAUAAUUUAGGAUGUAACCAAAUCUCUCAUUUUUGACUUUAAACAAAUCGUACUACAUUCUUAGAUAAAUGUGCUUUGAAUAAACUAUUUUUUAUCAUAGACAUAUUUAAACAGUUGAUCAAGUCUUCGGUCAGCAUCACAUGUUCAUUCGAUGGAAUGUGACUAUGUCACAAUCUUGGUGCAAAAGUUUGCCUUGAAAACUAAUUGUAUAGACAGAUGUCACCCUGAAUUCUUAUCUCUCACACGGCGUUUGGUAUCCUUUU